This 219-nucleotide ribosomal RNA is filed under the name uncultured prokaryote. RNAcentral's name for it is "partial 16S ribosomal RNA". It matches the Rfam family "Bacterial small subunit ribosomal RNA", at positions 524 to 741 of the family's 1533-position model. The record is from RNAcentral.
UACGGGGGGAGCAAGCGUUGUUCGGAUUUACUGGGCGUAAAGGGCGCGUAGGCGGCCAGCACAGGUCAGUUGUGAAAUCUCCGGGCUUAACUCGGAAAGGUCAACUGAUACUGUGCGGCUAGAGUGCAGAAGGGGCAACUGGAAUUCUCGGUGUAGCGGUGAAAUGCGUAGAUAUCGGGAGGAACAUCGGUGGCGAAGGCGGCCUUCUGGACGGAUACU